This is a long non-coding RNA of Papaver somniferum (opium poppy), 2950 nucleotides long. RefSeq lists it as uncharacterized. The record is from RefSeq and is a predicted model, not a curated record. The transcript has 9 exons. Lineage: Eukaryota; Viridiplantae; Streptophyta; Magnoliopsida; Ranunculales; Papaveraceae.
GUUGAUUCGGUGAUAAUUCAAGUUGAAUAUUGAGGAAGCAUUCCAGUUCCUCCAACUUUUAAUAGUUCAUAUCUUCAAAACGAUGAGAUGUAAAAAAAUAUUUGCGAUUCCUCGUGGACCAUUUUCGGACUGAAAUCUACAAUGGAGCAAAAUUAUUGUGCUUAUCUGGUCCUUAUUUUGGGAUGUAUUUGGAGCAUGAAAUUAGCGAACUGGGAAGCUUCAUCUAUAAAAAUCCAUCAGUUGUCAUGGGUAGCUCCACUUCAUCUAUAGCUAGCAAAAGACUUCUUUUUGCUCCAUUACUCUUUGGACUCGAGAGGACUUUUAUGACCAUGACUUUUUGGUUUGAUAUAUCUUAUAAUGGUGGUGCUUCUUCUCUCCAAAUCAAUGCCUACUACAAUACUUGCCCUGAAGUUGAAAGAAUCAUUUAUUCAAAGGUCCACGAAUGGCUGCAUCGCUUCUUCAUCUCCAUUUCCAUGAUUGUUUUGUUAAUCCGUUGUAGGGUUGCGAUGCUUCUGUGUUGUUGGAUGAUACAACUGGGUUUGAUGGAGAAAAGACUGCAGUACCCAACUUGAAUUCUCUGAGAGGGUUUGAAGUGGUUGAUGCAAUAAAAUCUGAACUUGAAUCUAUAUGUCCUUAGACUGCUUCCUGUGCUGACAUUCUUGCUACUGCUGCAAGAGACUCCGUUGUUCUGUUCGGUGGACCGGGUUGGGAUGUGCUGAUGGGUAGAAAGGAAAGCUUGACUGCUAGGAAAACAGAUGCCAACAACAACAUUCCAGCCCCAAAUUCAGACUUAAACACACUCAUCACCAAAUUCCAAAACGUUGGACUCGGCUCGACCCGACCGACAUGGUGCGCACACCAUCGGCAAGCUAGGUGUUCAUCCUUUAGCUCCAGUCUUCAAGGCCGUAGUACUCGCAACUCCGAUGGACAAAGGUUAUUUUGUUAAACUGAGAACACUAUUUUAAAUGGCAGAAUGAAGAAAUACUAAGACAAAAAUUAUCUUGUCUACAUCUCCAAAAUCUACCUUUUUGGGUUUUCUGUUCAUAUCUAGGAAGGGUAAUAGAGUGACUGACAAACUAGAAAAAGGAAGCAAGGAAGUCUGGCCGGAAUCAAGACUGGAACUCCAACACUUUAAUGUUAUACCUUAAAGUUUUUAUUUACAUAUAGACUUAAUAUAGAGAUCUAAAAGAGAGACUCAGAUUUUCAAAAUUAUCACAAUGAUUGCUCCUCUCAAAACUAAAGUUACAAAGGAGAUUCCUAAGUUGUUUUGGUUUUUCUCAGAUGAAAGUUGUGACGUUUCCGCUUCACACAAAGGAGAUUUUGGUUUGUAUACCCGCAAACACGAAUUCUCAGGUGAUGUGCAUCUGCGCCAUUGACGUGUUACAAUUGUUGAGAUGUAGAUCUGAAUAAUUGGUUUAAGUUUUGAGGGUGUAUUUAGAUCUGAUUAUGGUAGUAUUUGUAAAUCUACUUCAUCUGUAAAUGUUGUUAGUUUAUUCUGAAUCUGAUUAGUCCUCUGUUAAAUGAUAAGAAUCAAUCUCAGUUGGAUUAGUCCUACUAGUUUAUUCUUAUAAUUUUCUCAGUCUUUCUUCUUUUAUAUAUCAAGAUUUCUACAUACACAGAAAAAUAGUUUUGUACUAGCCAUGGAGAACCAAAAUGUGGAUGAUGGUUUAUUAGGGUUUUUACCCAUAAACCUACCAAACCGGGCCAAAACCGAUUUGAAUCUAUCAUAGCCGUGGAAUUAUGUCUAUUUGAUCCUAUCCAUCCAUGGAGACUAUAAAAAUCCCUAAACCUAAAACAAAUGUGUAGUAGGGUUUGGGUUGCAUAAUAGGUGCAUGUAAAAUUAUACUCCUCAUGGACCAUUUUCAGACUGAUGAUUACAAUUGAGCAAAAUCACUCUGCUAUCUGGUCUUUAUAAUGUGAUGAAUGUUGCUAGUACCUAAAUAUAAUUUUUCGUUCUGCCUAUCUUUUUAUCCUAUUUCUAAACUUGGUAAAGCACAAUUUAUUCAAGGACUGUCAAUCAGAAAGUCAUAUCCAGCUUAAUUUGGUGCAUGAAAUUGGCCAACUGGGAAGCUUAAUGGAGAGCUGCACUUCCUUAUUUGCUAGUAGAUCAUCAUUUUGAAAAUGUCACUCCUCUGGAGAUAGUCCCAAUGGAUAAAGAAUACACUAGAGACACAAUCUGGAAAGGAUACCUUCAAAGAUGUGACUUCGAAAAAGGAAUUAAGGUAAUUGGAGCAUGAAAUUGGCCAACCGGGAAGCUUCAUCUAUAAAUCCAGUCGUUGUCAUGGAGAGCUGCAUUUCCUUAUUUAUAGAUGAUCAUCAUUUUCGAGAGACAGUCCUGAUGGAUAAAGGAUGCUCUACAUCAUCUUAGAAGGAUAGGAUGUGACAUAGAGAAAGGAACUAAGGAACAGCUCUUAAGGCUUGCUCUGGAUGCUUCACAGCCACCAGUGCAGAAGAAGCCGAAGCUUUAGCAUGCUGAGUGGGCAACAGAAAUGUCUUUGUAACUUUUUUCGAUUGAAGGCAACUGCAAAAGACUCCUUUCAAAAGCUCAAGGAAGCCUCCGCACAAUCGAAUGGCAGAAUGAAGAAAUACUAAGACAAAAUUAUCUUGUCUACAGCUCCAAAUUCUAUUUUUUUGGGUUUUCUGUUCAUCUCUAGGAAGGGUAAUAGAGUGGCUGACAAACUAGCAAAGGAAGCAAGGGAGUCUGUCCGGAAUCAAGACUGGAACUCCAACACUUUAAUGCCUAGUUAUACCUUAAAGUUUUUAUAUACAGAUAGACUUAAUAUAGAUACCAGGGAUGAUGAUCUUUCCCCUGUUUAUCUAGAAUCUAUCCCAGCAUGUAAUUAUGUUCGAACUUGAAGAGAGACACUCAUGUUGGGGGGUAUACUUACAUCAUCUUCUGUUGCUAUGUGAGGAACAACCAACAUAAGAUAAUCAAAGCUUUGAUCGCAAA